CGGGGAUGGUGCUGAAGUCUGCGGCUCCGGGAAGCAGGGUCUCCUCACUCUCCUCCGACACGUCAGAGGCCGGCGUGAUGGGUCUCACGUCUGCAUGUUUCUUCAGGUCAGACUUCCAGUUGCAGCUCAUAGAAAUCAGGGCCUCGACAGCCUCGUAAUCGCCCUUCUCGGGGGUGUUGUUCCAGAAAUACCGAGCAUCUCCCUGCUUCUCAGUCAUCACCUCCAUUUCUUCCUCCGCGCGCCGUGCCGGGACCCCGCGCCGCCGCCGCCGGCCGUGCCCGCGCCGAUUUUCCUCUUUUUGUCCGCCGCUCCCCAUUCAGGUGGCGGCGGCUCCAGCGCCCCGCGCGGGCGGGCGGGGCGUCGUUCUCCCGGCAGCCAAUCGGCGGCAAAGGUGUGUGAGGCGGCCGCCAAUGGGCGCGGGGCGCCCCGCGCGUGAUCGGCGGCUGCCCCGCGGCGUGGCCCGGCUGUCGGCGCGGCGUGGCCCGGCCGUCGGCGCGGCGUGCGCGCUCCCGCCGUCAUCCCGGCGGCUGAGUCAGUGCAUCCGGGCGGGGGCGGCCGCCGCCUCGCCGUGAGGUCACGCGGCCCCCCGCCCCACCCCGCGGCGCGGAGGCGGCGCCGGGGGGAUUCCCUGGCCUCGUCCCCGGGCCCGGCGUGCCCCGCCGCCCCCGAUCGGGGGGUCACGGCUCAGCGGCGCUGCGCCCCGGCUGUGUGCUGCGGCCUCGGCGGCACCGGGGAGUCACCCGCGGUGCGGCCCCGCAGCGUCCGCUCCGCCCGUGUAAACGAACGCAGUGUGCGGUAUGAAAUGCCGUUCGCCUUUUCAGUCAGCCGCCGUGGCGCGGUACUGGCGGUACGUGCUGCUGAGGUGGUCGUGCAGUACGGGUCUGGAAGUGAGCGGCGCUUUGCGGCUCCUCGCAGGAAGGACGUGGAAGCGCUGGGGUGUGUGCACAGAAGGGCAGCGAAACGGAAGGGUCUGCAGCACGGGUCUUGUGGGAGCGGCUGAGGAGCUGGGGUUGUCCGGUCUGGAGAAGGGGAGGCUCAGGGGAGGCCUCGUUGCUCUCUCCGGCUGCCUGGAAGGAGGUUGUGGUGGGUCGGGGGUCGGCCUCUUCUCCCAGGUAACAGCGAUAGGAUGAGAGGCGAGGGCUGCUGUGAGGGCUGGGCGCUGAGAGCGGUGCUUGGCUGGGAACUGGGCAGCGAAAACUGACCGGAGGCGGUAGCGAUGCAGCCGGGGCUGAGGGACCGUGAAGAAGAGGGGGCUUUGUGCCAGACGGAUAGGCUUCGUGUGCCCGAGGCCCUGCCAUCCUGGUGACGUGUCCUGGAGCAGCAUUUCAGGCCUCUGGGCUGAACUGGGAGGAGCAGCCCUCGGAAAGGAGAGACCAAACUGCUCUUUGGCUCCUGCACCCCAUGGGAGCUCCGUUCCCCACACACCCCUGGCAUCCACGGAGGUACAGCUGCUCAUCUUGCUGCAAACCCUCCCUGUGUGUUGGACUGCUCUUUCCUUCCCCGCUCCUUCCCUGCUGUGCAGGCUGAGACUGUCUACAACCGCCUCUCCCAAAAAUAAUCCCUGCUUCAGAGGCUGGAAAACGUGACAGUUUAUCUUCAUGUGCAGAGCAGAAGCUAUUUGUAAUUAGCUUUAAGGCUGUCAUUUAUUUUACCAGCCUGAUUUCCACACCAAGCGGAUCGUGCGUGGCUGGCAGUGCUGUGUUCCUCCCCAUCCUACACAAGACCAACCCAGCAUUGCAUGGAUGAGUUCAGCACAGCGUUGCUCACAGCCCCAUCUCCUCUUCAGAGUGUUUUGUUUGCCCCCGAGUCCAUGCAGCCAUCAUCAUGCCUUGCCUGCGGGUCACUGUGUGGAAGGCUCCAGAGGGUGUUGGCAAUGCUGUUGUUGACGUGGCUGCCAUGGCGGCGGGGGGAAGCAGACACCCCUAAUGAAGCCCAAGGCGAGUAAGAGGCACUUCUUUUUGGCAGAUGAGCAGUUUUCAGUAAAAAUGCUUUUCCCCUUGGCAGCCAGUGGAAGAAUCUGAGCUACGGCUGUCAGAUCAAAUGUGUGUGCUUUCCCUUCGGCCUCCCAGGGAAGAUAGGGAUGUGGUUUUACACCAUCCUGGAGUAACCUGAUGUGUUUGCUUCUCAUUCUGAAGGCGUUUGGGAGUUUAACAUUAGACAUUUAGCCCUUGUGGGUUAUUUAUUUAUGCCUCUUACACUAUAUCUUAUGUUUCCUAGUAAACCACUUGCUCAGCCUGCAUUUCAUGUAUUUCUGAUGUGGAAAGAUGAAUUGUUGUGGGAUUGGGAUGAUAAAUGAGGAAAGAGAAUUGGCAACAAGACUGGAAAAUCGCUGGCCAACUAGGUAACUUCUAUCCAGCAGUCUAAGCCUGAAUUUCAGCACGCUCCGUUACCUGUGGCUUACCUUGGCUUUGUCAUACAGAAUUUACAAGGAGCCGUAAGUGGCUCCUUUAUCCUACAGACUGGGCUUCUACAUGCUGACCAGCAAGAAGCCGUACUGCACUUAUGAAAGGGCAUGAAUGAUUAUUUUAAACCUCCGUGUUGGAUGAGUACUUCUAUGGGUGUCGUGAUUUAAUGAACCACUUUGAAUAUAAGCCAAUGAUCAAUAUAAAGCACUGUUAAAAAAAAAAUCAGAUACUUAGAAACUGAACUAAGAUUAAGCACUGUAGAGUGAGCUUGUGCAGCUGACAAAGCCACCUGUCCAUGCUGUGAUGUGUUUUUCCCGAUGGAAGCACUGGAAAUACAUUUGUUUGCUUUUUCGUGCCCAAACUGAUCUUACUCGUUGCACAGUGACUGAAUAGCUGCUGCAUUUCCAGGAUAAAUUCCAGAGGCAAGCAGAUGGUGAUGUGACCAGAGCAGUUCAUUUGACAUACUAAUGUGGUAUGGAAGUCAGCAGGGACUUUCCUUCUCCUAACAAAGGUAACAGCGUUUCUGCACCUCCAAAUAUAGAUAUUUUGAUAAUAGUCAUAUGAACAAAGGUCCUUCUUUUCUUUAAGCCUACCUGCACUUUCUAACUUUUGAAUUGCUGAAUAGUUUCAGCCACACAAAACAGAUAAAGUAGAGCAAAGCUAUCAGUAAAUGUAAUGUUGCAGGAACGAUUAACAGCUCUGUGAUGCUAAGAUUUGAUCCAACUCCCACUGCAUGUGUGUUAGUUCAUACUCAAGCAAGUGAAUAGUUUCUGAAUAGGGAAAUGCAGGUACAGAAGUGCAGGCAGUUCCUCAUGCGGUACAGGCUGUACUGCAUCCACUUUGACUCCUUGCACCCAGUACAACCCUCCAGUAUGUCUUGGCAAGCCUUGAGCUCUCACGUCCCACUGCCACCUCUUGUCAAAUGCCUCUGCUCAUAUCAUGGUGCAAAAUACACCACUGGCGUGCUGUUAAGCAAUCAUCUCACUGUUAGUAACUGAUUUCUUUUUUCCUUGAGACGUCACAGAACUAAGGGCAUACUUUAGGGACCCGUGGAGCUCAAGGCCUUGUGUCUCAUUUAAAGAGAUGUCAUAAGAGUAAUGGCUUUGCCAUACAGAUAGCUCAGAUAGCCUUUGGCAACACAGCAAGAAUUGAGCAAUACUUUUUUUUUUUUUUUAAUUAAAAAAAAAAAAAGCCUCUGUGAAAGCCUGUUUUGGUGCUGCACAGUGCAAGUAUCUCAGCUGUAUCAGAGUCAUGCAGGGCUGCAGGGUAGAUCCCUGUUUAAUGUCUGGGUGGACAGUGUGCAAGUAGUGAUGACUUGGUCAGUGGGAGGGAACCCUGGCAGUGAGAUUGCCCUCAAGACAAAAAAAGCUUGCCUAAAGUGCUUGUUAGGUGUGGCAGCCCCUGAACUUUGCCAAAGCUACUCAACCCCGGAGGCUUUCACGCAGGUAACACAGGAGCAGGUCCAUGGAAAUGGGAGGAGCAGUGAUUAUGUGGGGAGUGUGCAGGGAGUGGGAAGGGUGUUUGCCUUCGGUCCUCCAGUUGUUUUAGUGCCUCAGGCAGAGGCAGGAGAUGGCACAGAGCACAACAGUGUGAGACCUGUCCUGACCACCUGCAUGGCAGCAGGCUGCUGGCAUCUGGCUGCUCCCUCAACUCCUCCCUGCGGCUCGCUUUGGUCCUGCAGCCCAGAUUGCAGGGCACGCACCUCAUUCCUGAAGCUCAGCAUGGGGGUGUGGGCCUCAGCUCUGCAUCUCACUGUUGGAGAUGUACACCUUGGUCUCACGGCUCAUUGCUGUCGUGAUUCAAGCUCCUCUGUCCCACAGCAUCCUUGGAGGCACACCACACCUCAGUCCCACCAAGACUCACUCUGCAGGA
This 4277-nucleotide long non-coding RNA is filed under the name Gallus gallus (chicken). Lineage: Eukaryota; Metazoa; Chordata; Aves; Galliformes; Phasianidae. The record is from RNAcentral.